ACCACCAGGAAUACAUACGUUUAGGAUCUGCUUGCGACACAGCUGCCAUGGCUCAAUCCAAUAACACUACCACUUUCUAAUUCUGAUCAUAAGAAACUAAUAUCCUCCGAAUGAUUAAGGAUGAUCCAACAAAGAACCAGAUGUAUUCGACCAAAAUCCAAUCAAUUAAAACACGCGAUGGCUAGUAUAAAACUUUUCGUGUCUCACUCCUUGUAUCUGAUGAGCAUAUUUGUGCAUAAAAAAGUAACCACUAUCUUCAGAAUUUGGGAAAGAAACAAGAAGUUCUUUAUUCUUUGAGUAGCUGCAUGUUUUGAUGUUCCUUGGCAAGUCUAAUCCAUGUCCGUUACAUCUCUAAUCGUCUCUCUGAAACUCGCUUCUUCUUCUCUCU
Molecule: unclassified non-coding RNA, 388 nt
Filed under: Hevea brasiliensis (rubber tree)
Lineage: Eukaryota; Viridiplantae; Streptophyta; Magnoliopsida; Malpighiales; Euphorbiaceae
Source: RNAcentral